UGGGGAAUCUUGGACAAUGGGCGCAAGCCUGAUCCAGCCAUGCCGCGUGAGUGAUGAAGGCCUUAGGGUCGUAAAGCUCUUUCGCUGGGGAUGAUAAUGACAGUACCCAGUAAAGAAACCCCGGCUAACUCCGUGCCAGCAGCCGCGGUAAUACGGAGGGGGUUAGCGUUGUUCGGAAUUACUGGGCGUAAAGCGCGCGUAGGCGGAUUGGAAAGUUGGGGGUGAAAUCCCGGGGCUCAACCUCGGAACUGCCUCCAAAACUAUCAGUCUAGAGUUCGAGAGAGGUGAGUGGAAUUCCGAGUGUAGAGGUGAAAUUCGUAGAUAUUCGGAGGAACACCAGUGGCGAAGGCGGCUCACUGGCUCGAUACUGACGCUGAGGUGCGAAAGUGUGGGGAGCAAACAGGAUUAGAUACCCUGGUAGUCCACACCGUAAACGAUGAAUGCCAGUCGUCAGCAAGCAUGCUUGUUGGUGACACACCUAACGG
RNAcentral lists this ribosomal RNA (485 nucleotides) under uncultured marine bacterium. Its description in RNAcentral is "bacterial SSU rRNA". It matches the Rfam family "Bacterial small subunit ribosomal RNA", at positions 355 to 858 of the family's 1533-position model. The record is from RNAcentral.